UUGGCGUCGGUUGCGGUGCAGGUGUGGGUUGGAGCGCUGAUUAUUGAGGAGGUGCUUCCGCGGGUUACUCAGAGAUUCCGGUUGCUUAUCAUUGAUGAUCGGCGCCUGUUUUUUGCGUUUGUAUAUUUGUGGGGUUUCUGCUAUAGGGAGGUCUUUGGUGGAGUGCACUGGUUUGAUUGUCCUUGAGUCUUCCCAAUUGAUGCUGGUGUCAUCUUCAUGCGCUCGUUUGGCCAGGGCUGUUGUUAAUUUAGCAGUAGUGGUGUCCCUUUUGUGCUCUUUGGGCCUGUCCUCCGGGUUCCUUGCUGUUGCUCCCACG
Molecule: long non-coding RNA, 316 nt
Filed under: Androctonus crassicauda
Lineage: Eukaryota; Metazoa; Arthropoda; Arachnida; Scorpiones; Buthidae
Source: RNAcentral